GGCUGCAAAGAAUCUCUUCAUUUUCAAGUAGGCAGGAGAAUUUCUUUACCUGAAUGAAAAGAAGGCUUUUCCUUCCUUGGUGGAAGAUGCCACCCAAGUAGGCUGUGAGGAAAAGACAAGAAUGACUAAUGAGGAAAGAGGAAGAGCAAUAACAUUCCUCAAAAGCUACAAAGAUCAAGGGAGAUAGACCUGAAGAAGAAGGAAAGCAGAUAAAUAAGGUGACUUGAACUCUCUCAGACUGAGGACAAAGUGCUACUAGGUCCUUAAGAAACACCUCUAGAGAGUAUAUGCCCUUAACCCACGACAAAAAGCACUGAAGUUGUGACCAACAGAAAGGACUCUAAGUGCUCUUGAGAAGUACCCAGAAGGUGAAGCAGUUGUGGUAGGCAGGAAGUGCUUCAAGUGCCAAGCUGUAGGCUGAUACCAUGAGAUUUGCAGACCUGAGAAAUUCAGAUAAGCUCAUACAAACUUUGAGCCUCCAAACCUUUUGAAGUUUGCCUGUCAUGAAGUGUAACUCCACUGCUGUCUGCAGACAUCACUGAAGA
Passer domesticus (house sparrow) is the source of this 545-nucleotide long non-coding RNA. RefSeq lists it as uncharacterized. The transcript has 6 exons. The record is from RefSeq and is a predicted model, not a curated record. Lineage: Eukaryota; Metazoa; Chordata; Aves; Passeriformes; Passeridae.